This 495-nucleotide ribosomal RNA is filed under the name uncultured bacterium. RNAcentral's name for it is "partial 16S ribosomal RNA". It matches the Rfam family "Bacterial small subunit ribosomal RNA", at positions 28 to 507 of the family's 1533-position model. The record is from RNAcentral.
GACGAACGCUGGCGGCGUGCCUAAUACAUGCAAGUAGAACGCUGAAGGAGGAGCUUGCUUCUCUGGAUGAGUUGCGAACGGGUGAGUAACGCGUAGGUAACCUGCCUGGUAGCGGGGGAUAACUAUUGGAAACGAUAGCUAAUACCGCAUAAUAGUAGAUGUCGCAUGACAUUUGCUUAAAAGGUGCAAUUGCAUCACUACCAGAUGGACCUGCGUUGUAUUGGCUAGUUGGUGAGGUAACGGCUCACCAAGGCAACGAUACAUAGCCGACCUGAGAGGGUGAUCGGCCACACUGGGACUGAGACACGGCCCAGACUCCUACGGGAGGCAGCAGUAGGGAAUCUUCGGCAAUGGACGGAAGUCUGACCGAGCAACGCCGCGUGAGUGAAGAAGGUUUUCGGAUCGUAAAGCUCUGUUGUAAGAGAAGAACGAGUGUGAGAGUGGAAAGUUCACACUGUGACGGUAUCUUACCAGAAAGGGACGGCUAACUACGUG